AUUUUAUUGACAUCAUUCAGACUCUCUCUGGACUUUACAUAAGAUAUUGAGAUAACUCCAAAAGGUUUGAAAAGCGAGAAAUUUUGAAGUAUCAUGGAACUGAAUGAAAAGAUGUAUUUAGCUAAUAAUGCUAUUUGUUCAUGGUAUGUAUAUUUCUAAUAACAUUUUGAUAUCAUUUUGAGUAGGGAAAACAAAACAAAAACAUAUGUCAAUCCUUAUUUGAAUGGUAAAAAAUCAAAUUGACAUUUUUAAAAUCCUAAACUUGCAGAACCCCAAAAUAUUCAUCAAUAGUCAAUUUUUGUAAUAGUUUGUCAUUUGAAAAAUGACCAUCUGCUAUACCGGAGCAGGAAUGGACAGUAAUCCCACCUAUAUUCAAGGAAGCCACUCCCGUUGUUCCUGUGACUGCGACCGUUUUCCCCCGGCUUUUUUUAGUUCUUGUUCUAUAGUACAGACCAAAAGGCUCUUCCCCGUUCCACUUUG
This 480-nucleotide long non-coding RNA is filed under the name Mytilus galloprovincialis (Mediterranean mussel). The record is from RNAcentral. Lineage: Eukaryota; Metazoa; Mollusca; Bivalvia; Mytilida; Mytilidae.